Long non-coding RNA from Solanum pennellii, 1028 nucleotides. RefSeq lists it as uncharacterized. The record is from RefSeq and is a predicted model, not a curated record. The transcript is spliced from 2 exons. Lineage: Eukaryota; Viridiplantae; Streptophyta; Magnoliopsida; Solanales; Solanaceae.
UAUUUUUUAAAUUAGGGUCUAAAAUUUUUAGAUUUUUAUGGACAAGUGUUUCACUUUUCAAUAUUUUUCGGUCAUCACCACCCCGGAAUCCCGCGAUGUUCCGGCAACCCAAAAAAACCGCUUUAUUUUCCCAAUUAUCCGGCGAAAACCCCUCUGCACAUCCCUCUGCUCAAUAACCCAAAAAAAAACCCUUUAUUUUCCCCAUUAUCCGGCGAAAACCCCUCUGAACAUCCCUCUCCUCAAUCUCGCCCCUUCCCUCUCCCUUUUUCCCUCCUUCCAGACACCUUUCACGCCCCCUCUCUCUUUUUCUUCCUUUACUCUCCCCUUCCUCUCCUCUCCUCCACUCUUCCCCCUCUUUCAUUGCUCCUCUCCCUAAUUUUCCCUUUCUCGGCUUCUCCCUCUUCCUCCUCUUUCUCUUCCUUCUCCGUCCGACCAUCAGACCUCCCAAACAACUGCUAAACUACCAGAAAACAACCACCAAAUCCCCAUCGGAAGACAACCAAAACAGACCCUUCUCCAUUUUCCCGUCAAAAUCACCACCGAAAACACCACACCUCGAAACCUCCAAUGCUCCGACCAUCGAUGUUCCUCGCGCCAAUCCACCGGCAAAUGCUGUUGAACAACCCAAUGCAGCCACGCAUUGAAACCACCAGGCAGCACGCUCCGGCGAACAACAACAGCAAGUACCAGAGCCGCAACUCCACCAGUGAGCUCUUUCUUUGGGCAAAAUAUGAUGAUAACUGAGCUAAUGGGAUAACAGGUAAAAAUGGAGGAUGAAGAAAUAACCGUCGAUUUCCAAGGCCUUCCAUGUUCUUAAGACAGAUUUUUAUUAUUAAAUUAUCAUUUGAUUAAUUCAUAUCUAUUUAUUUAUUACUAACACUUUUUACUAAGUGUGUUUAUAGGUGCACAGAGUUGUUUCUCAUGAAGUCAUUCGAAAAAGCUCGAAUUAUUUUUUUAUUUCAUUAUUAUAUAAAUAUUGACGUUAGGCAAACCUUUGACCGAUAAUUAUUAUUUUAUUUUAUUGUGUA